This 481-nucleotide ribosomal RNA is filed under the name uncultured bacterium. Its description in RNAcentral is "partial 16S ribosomal RNA". It matches the Rfam family "Bacterial small subunit ribosomal RNA", at positions 30 to 506 of the family's 1533-position model. The record is from RNAcentral.
AUUGAACGCUGGCGGCAUGCUCUACACAUGCAAGUCGAACGGUAACAGGCCGCAAGGUGCUGACGAGUGGCGAACGGGUGAGUAAUGCAUCGGAACGUGCCCAGUCGUGGGGGAUAACUACUCGAAAGAGUAGCUAAUACCGCAUACGAUCUAUGGAUGAAAGCGGGGGACCGUAAGGCCUCGCGCGAUUGGAGCGGCCGAUGUCAGAUUAGGUAGUUGGUGGGGUAAAGGCUCACCAAGCCAACGAUCUGUAGCUGGUCUGAGAGGACGACCAGCCACACUGGGACUGAGACACGGCCCAGACUCCUACGGGAGGCAGCAGUGGGGAAUUUUGGACAAUGGGGGCAAGCCUGAUCCAGCAAUGCCGCGUGCAGGAAGAAGGCCUUCGGGUUGUAAACUUCUUUUGUACGGAACGAAACGGCUCUGGUUAAUACCCGGGGCUAAUGACGGUACCGUAAGAAUAAGCACCGGCGAACUACGU